Molecule: transfer RNA, 91 nt
Filed under: Peptococcaceae bacterium
Lineage: Bacteria; Bacillati; Bacillota; Clostridia; Eubacteriales; Peptococcaceae
Description: tRNA-Ser
Rfam family: tRNA
About the family: Transfer RNA (tRNA) molecules are approximately 80 nucleotides in length. Their secondary structure includes four short double-helical elements and three loops (D, anti-codon, and T loops).
Source: RNAcentral
GGAGGAGUACCCAAGCGGUGAAGGGGCUGCACUCGAAAUGCAGAAGGCCGGUACCCCCGGCGCGAGAGUUCGAUCCUCUCCUCCUCCGCCA